Small nuclear RNA from Sorex fumeus (smoky shrew), 160 nucleotides. RefSeq annotates it as U1 spliceosomal RNA. The record is from RefSeq and is a predicted model, not a curated record. NCBI's taxonomy places the organism in Eukaryota, Metazoa, Chordata, Mammalia, Eulipotyphla, Soricidae. The transcript has a single exon.
ACACUGACAUGGCAGGGGAGAUACCAGGAUCAGAAGAAUUUUCCAAGGGUGAGACUUAUCCAUUGCACUCUAGAUGUGCUGACCCCUGUGAUUUACCCAGAUAUGGGAAAGUCAACCACAUGAUUUGUGACAGUGGGCGACUGUUUGUAACCCUCCCCUA